GGAGACAAAGUUCUGCUGACUGAUAG
Molecule: non-coding RNA, 26 nt
Filed under: Cricetulus griseus (Chinese hamster)
Lineage: Eukaryota; Metazoa; Chordata; Mammalia; Rodentia; Cricetidae
Source: RNAcentral